RNAcentral lists this long non-coding RNA (4732 nucleotides) under Gallus gallus (chicken). Lineage: Eukaryota; Metazoa; Chordata; Aves; Galliformes; Phasianidae. The record is from RNAcentral.
AGGUAAUUGGGUAAUUGUAUUUUACUGAUCACAAGCAGAGAAAAGAAGGGGAAGGGGGGAGGGAAAAAAAAAAGAGAGAGAGAGAGAAAGAGAACGGAAGGGGUGAAGGAGGAGUAUAGCGAGGAAGACUGGCCCCGGGACAUUUGCAAAUCCUAGGGUGCCACUGAAAGGUGGGGAGUCAGACAAAGCCAGAGCGACAGAAAAGCGGAUCUACUCCCAGCAGCAACAACAGGAGCUGUCUGGAGCUGGAUAUAUACAUAGAUGCGUACGUACGUGCACACACAGGAGGAAUUCAAGCUGAAGCUAAUGGGAGGGAGAAAGGGUUUGGGCUGUGCAAAAAGCUAUGCGUUUCAGGCAUGAGACUAAAAACUGAAAGAAGAGGCUGUGCUCCCGGGAAUGUGUCAUCUUGGAAGGGAGGGAGGCAGGAAGGAAGGAAGAAAAGGGGGAAGAUAACUGGCAUGUGGAAGACGAUGGGAUUCUAACUCACUGCUGUGCAGAAGGGAAAUCCAACUUGUAGAUCUGAAAUACACCAGGCAGAGAUUGCAAAUGCGAUCGGAGCUGCGUUGAAGCAGAGAAAGAGAAGAAAAGGGAGGCAGAGGCUGGAGAGCUUUUAUCCUUCUCCCUCUCUCUCCUCAAAGAAGAAAUAGAAGUUUAUCUGUCUUGGUGCUGCUGGAUCUUUAUAGCUGCUGGACAAAAGAUGGAGAGGAAGCUGAAAUGAAAAGCAAAGGGAAACCAGUGCUUGCGAAACUCACGGCUAAGAAGACAAAUCACGCCUCCCCAGGCUUCUUUUGUGCCCCAUCGGGGGAGUUUUAACAUCAGAAAGAUUUUGAGAAGUGUGGGGAGCAAAGGGGAGAGUGGGCGUUAAAAACACCCAUCCUGAGUGUUUAAAAAAUAACGAGGGGAUGGAUUUAUUCUUGACAGCUGGUGGGAACCUUGAAUUUUUCUCUACUCCCUCCCUCCUUCCUUCCAUUUAAUGUGAGAUUAUGAAAAUGCAGAGGAGUUGGAGGGAAGGCAAAAGGAUAUAAUGUGGAGUUUGAAGCGAGGAAGAGAGUGCUGAUGCUGUGGAUUGCUGGCUUCUUGCUGAAAUCAAAAAUCCAAUUGCGCACUGGGUUGUGAUUGGAAAUCUAAUCAGAUCUUUGGGGAGAAGGGAGAGACACUAAAAGUUAUCGUAUUGACAUAUAGAAAUAAAAAUUUAAAUGCAAACGGAGAUUCUAUCCUGAAGGAGUGUGGGGGAUAGGGAAAGAGAAGAAUGGGAAUCCCCAUUCUAAUGUGGAGACACACGGAUUGGAUAAUUGAUAGUGCAGCAAAGAAGGGGGAAGAAGAAAAUUGCCUGGCAAGACCUGGAUCUUAACAGUCACAACAAAAUUGCAUUAAAAGAAUACAGAUGGAGGGCUGCUUAAACAGAAAUACAGCUCUUUCUGCUCUCCAGAGAAAAAACAAAUAGUGAGCAAUGGAGAGCAGAGAAGCUAGAGUGGCAGAAAACCUCAGAAAAAGGGAAGUAGGCAAAGGAUCCACUGUGGAAUGAAAAGUUUCAGAAAGAAGAAAGACCAUUCAUCCUCUGCAAUAAUUUUUCUUUUUUUUUCUUGGUGUUUUAAACCCCUCUUCUCCAGUGAAGCAAACAUCAUUGUUACCACUACAGCAAUUUUAAGCAGAAAAGUUGAACACAACAGAGAAAAUAAAGGACAGAGAAGAAAAAAGCAAAAUUGCUGGAGGGAGAGAGUUCAGCAGUGCUGGGUUGGAUUGGUACCUGUAUGGACUGAAAUUGCUUGGGAAUUGCAGUUGGAUAUCUUUUAUUCUUGUUUCCUUCCUUGUUUUUAAUUUUGGUUUGGUUGCUGAAAUGAAAUAGUUUUCAUAACCCAUCCCCCACCCUGUUUUUUCAUAACCACUCGGAUUUCCAGCUGGAUAGUCUUUGAGGAUAUAGGUGAAUGCUGUGAGGUGGUCAAGUCAACUCUGUGGAACAUUCUCCAAUGGGCUAGUAGGAUGAGAAGAUCCAAGAGUAGUUUGGGAAACAAGGAGAAACAUCACCUCUCAUGACGGUAAACCUACCGAAAAGCCAUUUAAGUUACUGCAUCUGCAUCAAAACACCAGCAGUUCAUAUGGCAUCAUUAUAUAUUGGUUGAAAAAUACUGAGUGAAGCAUUAGGAAUAUGGGAAUUAUCUUGGCUCACAGAGAAAAGACUGUCAUGGGUAUCAAGCACUGAAUUGCUCAGAACUGUCAUCUACACCUCACAGAAACAUCCGUUUGUUGAUAUUUUGUGGCACAAAUCCAGUAGUCAUUCUAAAGAACAGAGACAUAAAAAGUUGUGAAAAGUUGUGUAGGUGAUAAUUUUUUUUUAUUUAUUUUUUGCCAAGCUGUUAAGUUAAAAAAUGUUUGAGAAAUAAUUAAUUGGAUAUUUUUAUAUGAAUAUAAUUAAUAUGUAUGAAUCUACAUGUAUUUAUAUAAGGAAUAAUCAGUACAUAUUUAAAAAUUAAUCUUUUUUUGAGACAAGUAUUUCAUUAACUGUGAAGAAGCAUAUGCGGCUAUCCUUUUUUACUGUUUAAGUGUAAGUCAAUUAAUUAUCAAUUGUCUGUUACCAGCACUUGGAUAGAAAUUCAAGAUGAGGAGUUUGAUAAACUAAAUGGAUGCAGUGAGACAGAUCUUGUGCCAGUGAAGGUAUACUGAUUUGUAUAAGCUGUGGAUCUGGUCUGUAAAUUUUACUUUUGAUAGCAGAUAGUAUUACAGCACAGUCAUGACUUUCUACAGGCAAUCUUCAUGCUGUAAGAUGGAAGGUCUUCACAAGGCCUCUCCCUGGACAGUUCAUACAAAAGUCUGGGAGAAAGGAAAGAGUGAAUGCCCAAACUAAUCAGUAGUGAUCCCUUUGGAGUCUGUGUCCACCUAUAAAACUUAUGUCCACAGUAUAUAGAGUGAAAUUAAGAGAAAGCUGUAAGUCAGCUAUUAUUCCUUGCAGUUUGAAGGAGAAUUACAGCAAAUCUGUGUCCAAAAUCCUUGAAUCAAUAAUAUGAAAAAAGAAUUUCAAGAAGACUGUAAUAGCCUCAUACCAACUUUGAGGUGUACUGUCUGCUGUGACUGUGUUGUGUGUUCAGCUAUCUCUAAUGAAAUUAUUCCUCUCACUCCCUAGUAUGUUCUUACUUUGCCUUUCAGUAAAAAUUGGGAGAUAAGAAUAGUGAAGUGCAAUUGAAUUUAGUCUAGUGAGUGCCUUUCUCACUCAUAAGUACUGCUUGUUAAAUUUCAUUUUGAAAAAUGAAGCUGUAUUUAGUGUAAAUGUGAGGGAUCCUAGUGAGAAGAAAAGCACCCCAAACCAUUAAGAGGAAAAAAAAAAUCUGCUCUUUUUGCUGCUGUAUAAUUUUAAAGCUAUUUAGCAAUUUGUGCUAUAUUUAAGUAAAAAAAGAUUGCUGACAACUUGGACACCAGACUGAAAGUAAAAUGAAAUUUUUAAAGGAGGAUUUUGUACCCUUUAAGAAGGAAAAUGAAGUUUGCAAGUUCCUAGCAGACCCUUAAUUAAAUUGGAAUGUUGCUAUGCUACCUUAAUACAUUAGGGAGAAACUAUUGAGGCUGUUUGCUGACUGCAGUAUACUGCAGGUUACAUUGUUAAGCUCCUUUGUGGAGCAAAAGCAAGCUCUACCCCCAUAAAUAACUUCAAUGAUUGAUGGUAGAAUACAGCUUUGCUCUCUUGUACUUGUUACCUACAUAGAGGACUUUACAUCCCAGUACUUGCCACCAUCUACAGUCUAAACAGCAGAUAUCAAAUUUUUAUAGUUCUCACCAAAUGAUGGCUACUCUCUUGCAGCAUUUGCCUUCACUUUUAAGAGGAGAGAGAUAAUUAAUAGCUAACUCUUUCCCAAGAAAUCUGUCAUGUCCUAGCUUACUCAAGACAGGUGUCGAGGAUGAGAGAUUUUCUAGUGCAUCCUUCUGCACGUACUGUUAGAUAGAUUGUCAAUAUGCAUAAGUUACUAUUGACUGAAGGUCAUAGAAUGGUGGUCUCCUCACGCUGGAUACCUAGCUUUCUGUCUAAGCUGAAAACAAACGUCUAUUGUAUAUACUGAGCAAAACGGAGAGCUUCAAGAAGCUGCUGUAAGAAUUCCAUAAAAGCAGAUUGUUCUUCCAAGUUAAUCCCACAGCAGUGCUCUGGUGCUGUACUAACACAAAUGCUCCUCUUUAAUAUGAUGCAAGUGAAUGAGUCAAACUGUCUUUCCAAAAAAACAGUUUCCAAAACAGUUGGAAAGUUUACCAUUGUGCAGUAGGUCAAAUUUGAACACAGAUACAUAGUUCCUAUUGUGCCUUCAGUCUGAAUUGAAGAUAGCAGUCUUCACAUGGUAUACUGCAAAAAAGCCUCUAUGUUUCUCUCCAGAAAUUUAAGUGGAGAAUAAGGUAAUUCUGAUAUACUACAUAUGCUGUCUGCCAGAUUAGAAUUUAAAGCUCAGAAGCAAACUUCUAGAUAAAAGUAUUAAUGUAGUAUAAGUAUAGAUACUUCUAGAUAAAAGUACAACUGUAGUAUAAGGGUAAGCCAUUACCAUCUAUUAGUCACUGUAAAGCCUCCUAAAUUCCAUGUACACCAGACAUAACAUAUAAAUGUUGAAGAUAAGGACCUCUCUUGAUUCAUCACAGGCAAUGCUUGCUGUUUUCAGUUCACAGCUACCAUUGCAACUCUGUAUUUUAUGAUGGGAAGGAACAAAAAGAGAUGAAAGGAAAUGACUUGUUAUUUCAAAAAAGAAAAGGCUUUUUUUCAUUCCUG